This 585-nucleotide ribosomal RNA is filed under the name uncultured bacterium. RNAcentral describes it as "partial 16S ribosomal RNA". It matches the Rfam family "Bacterial small subunit ribosomal RNA", at positions 355 to 1375 of the family's 1533-position model. The record is from RNAcentral.
UGGGGAAUUUUGGACAAUGGGCGAAAGCCUGAUCCAGCAAUGCCGCGUGUGUGAAGAAGGCCUUCGGGUUGUAAAGCACUUUUGUCCGGAAAGAAAUCCUUGGCUCUAAUACAGUCGGGGGAUGACGGUACCGGAAGAAUAAGCACCGGCUAACUACGUGCCAGCAGCCGCGGUAAUACGUAGGGUGCAAGCGUUAAUCGGAAUUACUGGGCGUAAAGCGUGCGCAGGCGGUUUGCUAAGACCGAUGUGAAAUCCCCGGGCUCAACCUGGGAACUGCAUUGGUGACUGGCAGGCUAGAGUAUGGCAGAGGGGGGUAGAAUUUCACGUGUAGCAGUGAAAUGCGUAGAGAUGUGGAGGAAUACCGAUGGCGAAGGCAGCCCCCUGGGCCAAUACUGACGCUCAUGCACGAAAGCGUGGGGAGCAAACAGGAUUAGAUACCCUGGUAGUCCACGCCCUAAACGAUGUCAACUAGUUGUUGGGGAUUCAUUUCCUUAGUAACGUAGCUAACGCGUGAAGUUGACCGCCUGGGGAGUACGGUCGCAAGAUUAAAACUUAAAGGAAUUGACGGGGUCAUAGCUGUUUCCU